This 74-nucleotide transfer RNA is filed under the name Clostridiales bacterium. Its description in RNAcentral is "tRNA-Gln". It matches the Rfam family "tRNA". From Rfam's summary of the family: Transfer RNA (tRNA) molecules are approximately 80 nucleotides in length. Their secondary structure includes four short double-helical elements and three loops (D, anti-codon, and T loops). The record is from RNAcentral. Lineage: Bacteria; Bacillati; Bacillota; Clostridia; Eubacteriales.
UGCGGAUUAACACAACGGCAGUGUACACGGCUUUGACCCGUGGUACGAAAGAUCGACACUUUCAUCCGCAACCA